ACAGCUGAAGGCACUCCAGCAUGAGCUUGGCUGCACGGUGGCAGCUCUCAAAACGACCAAGUCAGAACUCGAGGUUACUGUUCCGAUGAUCAUGAUAUCAUCAAUGGAGUUUUGUUGUCUCCUGUUCUGAAGUAGUAGCACAAAUCUGACUGUGUUGACAGGAGAAGAAGAAAUUGGGUCAAUAUGCUGCCGUAGAAACCACCCUCAAGGUAUCAUAAUUCGAGCAGUUUCAGUAAAAAAAUCAAGCCGUGAGACGUACUUACUUAUGGUUCUUCAUCGCCGCUGCUGUUUGUUUCACCCUAAUUACCUUCUUGAAGGAGGCGGCGGAUACGGUGGAGACUCUUCCUCGUCAAGUCGGCGAGAAGGCGGCCUGCAACCCCAAGAGGAAACGCACCUCGAGAAUCUACUGUAAUUACGAACCACCGAUUUAUGCCCCGGACGCUCGCAUGCUCUGUUGAUCGCGCAUUUGAGAUCUUCCUAUAGAUGACGGAUAUUUGUGUUUCAGCGUUGGGAUCUGCAUCUGUGGUCCGUGAGGAAAUGGCGACGGAGAAGAAGAUGGGAAGCGGUGGAAGAAGGUCCUGCCUGAUUCAACCUCUCAUCUUCCUUCAACUGGUGGCCAUAUCUGAUCCUCGUUCUGAAACAGGAGAUCCUCCGGCAGGGCUUCGAGCGCGAGAAUUUCCCUAAAAUCGGAACCGCGCGCGCCGAAAGAGGAGCAGCAGCCGUUCGAAUUGAAGGACAACGUGUUACCUACCGCCCCCGCACCCCCCCCGAGGGACGAAGCCCAAAGCACCCGACCAGAUCCGGCGGCUGGUCCAUCCGAUUCGAGAUCCCCUUUCAGAGAGGUGAAGGUCGAAGACGACAGGGAUUUCCGCAGCCCUCCGGAUCCCUCGAAGCGAGAUUCCUCCUCCUCGCAUCCGGUGUCGAUCUCCAGGCGGCCGCAGCGGAGGUCGACGGUCGGCGUCUCCUACAAGGAGAUGUCCCUAAGAGUGAAGAUGCGGAGGUCGUAGCGAUCCGCCAGUUCUUCCCGGAGCGGCAGCCCCCCCUUGGCUUCAGCCACAUCCUGUAACUCUCCUCCAUCUCCGACAUUGAAAUGCCCGACCAGGUAGAGCGGCCUCCUCCUCAUCUGCGGGAUGGGGAGGAAGCAGGAGGAGAGCGCGCCGCCGUCUUGAUGUAUUUUUAUCUUGAUCCCUCCGCGAGUGACACGUGCAACGUGUCCAGGACGGCCCUCGGCGUAGUCUAAUCUUGCGUACGUACGUCGAUGUCGCUGAGAGAGAUAGAGAAAUUAAAUGGGGCCCAC
This 1297-nucleotide long non-coding RNA is filed under the name Spirodela polyrhiza (greater duckweed). Its description in RNAcentral is "long non-coding RNA (SPOL_LNC000581)". Lineage: Eukaryota; Viridiplantae; Streptophyta; Magnoliopsida; Alismatales; Araceae. The record is from RNAcentral.